GAUGAAGAACGCAGCGAAAUGCGAUACGUAAUGUGAAUUGCAAAUUCAGUGAAUCAUCGAAUCUUUGAACGCACAUUGCGCCCCUUGGUAUUCCGAGGGGCAUGCCUGUUCGAGCGUCAUUAUAACCCCUCAAGCUCAGCUUGGUGUUGGGGCCUGCUGCACUGGCAGCCCUUAAAAUCAGUGGCGGCGCCAUCUGGCUCUAAGCGUAGUAAUUCUUCUCGCUAUGGAGUCCUGGUGGAUGCUUGCCAUCAACCCCCAAUUUUUCUAUGGUUGACCUCGGAUCAGGUAGGGAUACCCGCUGAACUUAAGCAUAUCAAUAAGCGGAGGA
Molecule: unclassified non-coding RNA, 328 nt
Filed under: soil metagenome
Description: partial contains 5.8S ribosomal RNA, internal transcribed spacer 2, and large subunit ribosomal RNA
Rfam family: 5.8S ribosomal RNA (bases 1-119)
Source: RNAcentral